This 887-nucleotide ribosomal RNA is filed under the name uncultured bacterium. RNAcentral's name for it is "bacterial SSU rRNA". It matches the Rfam family "Bacterial small subunit ribosomal RNA", at positions 8 to 893 of the family's 1533-position model. The record is from RNAcentral.
AGAGUUUGAUCCUGGCUCAGGACGAACGCUGGCGGCGUGCUUAAUGCAUGCAAGUCGAACGAAGAACCCACUAUGGGUAACCACUGUGGAAUUCUUAGUGGCGAACGGGUGAGUAACACGUGAGAAACCUGCCCCGGAGACCGGGAUAGCCCAGGGAAACCUGGAUUAAUACCGGAUACCCUCUUUUGAUCGCAUGAUCGACUGAGGAAAUGGUCCGCUGCUCCGGGAUGGUCUCGCGCCCUAUCAGCUAGUUGGUGAGGUAACGGCUCACCAAGGCAAUGACGGGUAGCUGGUCUGAGAGGACGAUCAGCCACACUGGGACUGAGACACGGCCCAGACUCCUACGGGAGGCAGCAGCAGGGAAUUUUGCACAAUGGGCGAAAGCCUGAUGCAGCGACGCCGCGUGGGGGAUGAAUGCCUUCGGGUUGUAAACCCCUUUCAGGAGGGACGAAGCGAAAGUGACGGUACCUCCAGAAGAAGCCCCGGCCAACUACGUGCCAGCAGCCGCGGUAAUACGUAGGGGGCGAGCGUUGUCCGGAUUUAUUGGGCGUAAAGAGCUCGUAGGCGGCUCAGCAAGUCGGCCGUGAAAACCUGAGGCUCAACCUCAGGACGCCGGUCGAAACUGCUGUGGCUAGGGUUCGGUAGAGGAGAGUGGAAUUCCCGGUGUAGCGGUGAAAUGCGCAGAUAUCGGGAGGAACACCAGUAGCGAAGGCGGCUCUCUGGGCCGACACCGACGCUGAGGAGCGAAAGCUAGGGGAGCGAACAGGAUUAGAUACCCUGGUAGUCCUAGCCGUAAACGUUGGGAACUAGGUGUGGCGGAUUCAUUGACAUCUGCCGUGCCGAAGCUAACGCAUUAAGUUCCCCGCCUGGGGAGUACGGUCGCAAGG